RNAcentral lists this small nucleolar RNA (107 nucleotides) under Gossypium arboreum. RNAcentral's name for it is "Plant small nucleolar RNA R71". It matches the Rfam family "Plant small nucleolar RNA R71". From Rfam's summary of the family: R71 is a member of the C/D box family of snoRNAs containing the C (UGAUGA) and D (CUGA) box motifs. Lineage: Eukaryota; Viridiplantae; Streptophyta; Magnoliopsida; Malvales; Malvaceae. The record is from Rfam by way of RNAcentral.
AAUCCAUGGUGAGAGCACUUUCUCAAUAGGUCCUUGUAUCUCUCCCAUGCAUCAUAAAGUGUUUCUAAAUCCAUCUACACAAAAGAAGAGAUAUCAUUCCUCAAUUU